GUCUUAUUGUAUAUUUAUAUUAAGUCUUACCUGCUCAAUGAUAUUAAUUAUUAAAUGGCCGCAGUAUUUUGACUGUGCAAAGGUAGCAUAAUCAUUUGUCUUUUAAUUGUAGACUUGUAUGAAUGGUUUGAUGAAAUAUUGACUUUCUUUAUAUAAAAUAUAUUUAAUUUAAUAUUUUAGUUAAAAGGCUAAAAUAGAUUUAUAGGACGAGAAGACCCUAUAGAAUUUUAUACUUAAGUAUUAUAAACAAUAUUGGUUUAUUAUCUAUUUUAUUUUACAAGGUAUUUUGUUGGGGUGACAGGAAGAUUUAAAUAACUUUUAUUAUUUAUAUUUUAUUCAUUUAUAAUUUAAUGAUCCUUUUUUGUGGAUAAUAAGAUUAAAUUACCUUAGGGAUAACAGCGUAAUUUCAUUGGAGAGUUCUUAUCGAUAGUGGAGUUUGCGACCUCGAUGUUGGAUUAAAAUUAGUUUUUGGUGUAGGUGCUAAAUUACUAGGUCUGUUCGACCUUUAAUAUUUUACA
RNAcentral lists this ribosomal RNA (518 nucleotides) under Elasmucha signoreti. RNAcentral's name for it is "partial 16S rRNA". It matches the Rfam family "Bacterial large subunit ribosomal RNA", at positions 1829 to 2600 of the family's 2925-position model. Lineage: Eukaryota; Metazoa; Arthropoda; Insecta; Hemiptera; Acanthosomatidae. The record is from RNAcentral.